Molecule: ribosomal RNA, 479 nt
Filed under: uncultured bacterium
Lineage: Bacteria
Description: bacterial SSU rRNA
Rfam family: Bacterial small subunit ribosomal RNA
Source: RNAcentral
AUGAACGCUGGCGGCGUGCCUAACACAUGCAAGUCGAGCGCGAAAAUUCCUUCGGGAAUUAGUAGAGCGGCGGACGGGUGAGCAAUGUAUGAGAAUCUGCCCUUUAGUGAAGAAUACCUUCGAGAAAUUGAAGUUAAUACUGCAUAAGUCCCUGCGGGGAGAAAGAUGGCUUUAUUGCUGUCGCUGAAGGAUGAGCUCAUAUGCUAUUAGCUUGUUGGUGGGGUAAAGGCCUACCAAGGCGAAGAUGGCUAGCCGGCCUGAGAGGGUGUACGGCCACACUGGAACUGAGACACGGUCCAGACUCCUACGGGAGGCAGCAGUGAGGAAUAUUGCACAAUGGGCGAAAGCCUGAUGCAGCGACGCCGCGUGGAGGAUGAAGGUCUUAGGAUCGUAAACUCCUGUUAAGUGGGAAGAAAUACCUACCAGUAAUAUGGGUAGGGGAUGACGUUACCAUUAGAGAAAGCACCGGCUAACUUCGU